UACGGGGGGGAGCAAGCGUUGUUCGGAUUUACUGGGCGUAAAGAGCUCGUAGGCGGUUUGUCGCGUCUGCCGUGAAAGUCCGGGGCUCAACUCCGGAUCUGCGGUGGGUACGGGCAGACUAGAGUGAUGUAGGGGAGACUGGAAUUCCUGGUGUAGCGGUGAAAUGCGCAGAGAUCGGGAGGAACACCAAUGGCGAAAGCAGGUACCUGGACUAUUACUGACACUCAGCUGCGAAAGCUAGGGGAGCAAACAGG
This 254-nucleotide ribosomal RNA is filed under the name uncultured bacterium. RNAcentral describes it as "partial 16S ribosomal RNA". It matches the Rfam family "Bacterial small subunit ribosomal RNA", at positions 524 to 776 of the family's 1533-position model. The record is from RNAcentral.